RNAcentral lists this ribosomal RNA (2905 nucleotides) under Enterobacter asburiae. RNAcentral's name for it is "23S ribosomal RNA". It matches the Rfam family "Bacterial large subunit ribosomal RNA". The record is from RNAcentral. Lineage: Bacteria; Pseudomonadati; Pseudomonadota; Gammaproteobacteria; Enterobacterales; Enterobacteriaceae.
GGUUAAGCGACUAAGCGUACACGGUGGAUGCCCUGGCAGUCAGAGGCGAUGAAGGACGUGCUAAUCUGCGAAAAGCGCCGGCGAGGUGAUAUGAACCUUUGACCCGGCGAUGUCCGAAUGGGGAAACCCAGUGCAAUUCGUUGCACUAUCGUUAACUGAAUACAUAGGUUAACGAGGCGAACCGGGGGAACUGAAACAUCUAAGUACCCCGAGGAAAAGAAAUCAACCGAGAUUCCCCCAGUAGCGGCGAGCGAACGGGGAGCAGCCCAGAGUCUGAAUCAGCUUGUGUGUUAGUGGAAGCGUCUGGAAAGUCGCACGGUACAGGGUGACAGUCCCGUACACGAAAGCACACAGGCUGUGAACUCGAAGAGUAGGGCGGGACACGUGGUAUCCUGUCUGAAUAUGGGGGGACCAUCCUCCAAGGCUAAAUACUCCUGACUGACCGAUAGUGAACCAGUACCGUGAGGGAAAGGCGAAAAGAACCCCGGCGAGGGGAGUGAAAAAGAACCUGAAACCGUGUACGUACAAGCAGUGGGAGCACCUUCGUGGUGUGACUGCGUACCUUUUGUAUAAUGGGUCAGCGACUUAUAUUCUGUAGCAAGGUUAACCGUAUAGGGGAGCCGAAGGGAAACCGAGUCUUAACUGGGCGUUAAGUUGCAGGGUAUAGACCCGAAACCCGGUGAUCUAGCCAUGGGCAGGUUGAAGGUUGGGUAACACUAACUGGAGGACCGAACCGACUAAUGUUGAAAAAUUAGCGGAUGACUUGUGGCUGGGGGUGAAAGGCCAAUCAAACCGGGAGAUAGCUGGUUCUCCCCGAAAGCUAUUUAGGUAGCGCCUCGUGAAUUCAUCUUCGGGGGUAGAGCACUGUUUCGGCUAGGGGGCCAUCCCGGCUUACCAACCCGAUGCAAACUACGAAUACCGAAGAAUGUUAUCACGGGAGACACACGGCGGGUGCUAACGUCCGUCGUGAAGAGGGAAACAACCCAGACCGCCAGCUAAGGUCCCAAAGUCAUGGUUAAGUGGGAAACGAUGUGGGAAGGCACAGACAGCCAGGAUGUUGGCUUAGAAGCAGCCAUCAUUUAAAGAAAGCGUAAUAGCUCACUGGUCGAGUCGGCCUGCGCGGAAGAUGUAACGGGGCUAAACCAUGCACCGAAGCUGCGGCAGCGACGCGUAUGCGUUGUUGGGUAGGGGAGCGUUCUGUAAGCCGUUGAAGGUGUCCUGUGAGGGGUGCUGGAGGUAUCAGAAGUGCGAAUGCUGACAUAAGUAACGAUAAAGCGGGUGAAAAGCCCGCUCGCCGGAAGACCAAGGGUUCCUGUCCAACGUUAAUCGGGGCAGGGUGAGUCGACCCCUAAGGCGAGGCCGAAAGGCGUAGUCGAUGGGAAACAGGUUAAUAUUCCUGUACUUGGUGUUACUGCGAAGGGGGGACGGAGAAGGCUAUGUUAGCCGGGCGACGGUUGUCCCGGUUUAAGCAUGUAGGCGGAGGUUCCAGGUAAAUCCGGUACCUUUUAACGCUGAGGUGUGAUGACGAGGCACUACGGUGCUGAAGUAACAAAUGCCCUGCUUCCAGGAAAAGCCUCUAAGCAUCAGGUAACAUCAAAUCGUACCCCAAACCGACACAGGUGGUCAGGUAGAGAAUACCAAGGCGCUUGAGAGAACUCGGGUGAAGGAACUAGGCAAAAUGGUGCCGUAACUUCGGGAGAAGGCACGCUGAUAUGUAGGUGAAGCCCCUGCGGGUGGAGCUGAAAUCAGUCGAAGAUACCAGCUGGCUGCAACUGUUUAUUAAAAACACAGCACUGUGCAAACACGAAAGUGGACGUAUACGGUGUGACGCCUGCCCGGUGCCGGAAGGUUAAUUGAUGGGGUUAGCGGCAACGCGAAGCUCUUGAUCGAAGCCCCGGUAAACGGCGGCCGUAACUAUAACGGUCCUAAGGUAGCGAAAUUCCUUGUCGGGUAAGUUCCGACCUGCACGAAUGGCGUAAUGAUGGCCAGGCUGUCUCCACCCGAGACUCAGUGAAAUUGAACUCGCUGUGAAGAUGCAGUGUACCCGCGGCAAGACGGAAAGACCCCGUGAACCUUUACUAUAGCUUGACACUGAACACUGGUCCUUGAUGUGUAGGAUAGGUGGGAGGCUUUGAAGCGUGGACGCCAGUCUGCGUGGAGCCGUCCUUGAAAUACCACCCUUUAAUGGCUGGUGUUCUAACGUAGACCCGUGAUCCGGGUUGCGGACAGUGUCUGGUGGGUAGUUUGACUGGGGCGGUCUCCUCCCAAAGAGUAACGGAGGAGCACGAAGGUUAGCUAAUCCUGGUCGGACAUCAGGAGGUUAGUGCAAUGGCAUAAGCUAGCUUGACUGCGAGAGUGACGGCUCGAGCAGGUGCGAAAGCAGGUCAUAGUGAUCCGGUGGUUCUGAAUGGAAGGGCCAUCGCUCAACGGAUAAAAGGUACUCCGGGGAUAACAGGCUGAUACCGCCCAAGAGUUCAUAUCGACGGCGGUGUUUGGCACCUCGAUGUCGGCUCAUCACAUCCUGGGGCUGAAGUAGGUCCCAAGGGUAUGGCUGUUCGCCAUUUAAAGUGGUACGCGAGCUGGGUUUAGAACGUCGUGAGACAGUUCGGUCCCUAUCUGCCGUGGGCGCUGGAGAAUUGAGGGGGGCUGCUCCUAGUACGAGAGGACCGGAGUGGACGCAUCACUGGUGUUCGGGUUGUCAUGCCAAUGGCACUGCCCGGUAGCUAAAUGCGGAAAAGAUAAGUGCUGAAAGCAUCUAAGCACGAAACUUGCCCCGAGAUGAGUUCUCCCUGACCCUUUAAGGGUCCUGAAGGAACGUUGAAGACGACGACGUUGAUAGGUCGGGUGUGUAAGCGCAGCGAUGCGUUGAGCUAACCGAUACUAAUGAACCGUGAGGCUUAACCUU